RNAcentral lists this ribosomal RNA (253 nucleotides) under uncultured bacterium. RNAcentral describes it as "partial 16S ribosomal RNA". It matches the Rfam family "Bacterial small subunit ribosomal RNA", at positions 524 to 776 of the family's 1533-position model. The record is from RNAcentral.
UACAGAGGGGGCAAGCGUUGUUCGGAAUUACUGGGCGUAAAGGGCUCGUAGGCGGCCAACUAAGUCGGAUGUGAAAUCCCCAGGCUUAACCUGGGAACUGCAUCCGAUACUGGAUGGCUUGAAUCCGGGAGAGGGAUGCGGAAUUCCAGGUGUAGCGGUGAAAUGCGUAGAUAUCUGGAGGAACACCGGUGGCGAAGGCGGCAUCCUGGACCGGCAUUGACGCUGAGGAGCGAAAGCCAGGGGAGCAAACAGG